Vicia faba (fava bean) is the source of this 105-nucleotide non-coding RNA. NCBI's taxonomy places the organism in Eukaryota, Viridiplantae, Streptophyta, Magnoliopsida, Fabales, Fabaceae. The record is from the annotation of a GenBank genome assembly.
AUGAAAGACGAUGUAUGUUCUUGCAAUCUCUUCUCCUUCAACGCUACUGAUCGUGCCUCGCUGAAGGUGACAUCCCACAGGGCCAAGUUGAAGGAAUGGCCAUAA